GGCCCUCUCUUCCGCUUCCCUUACCUUCUCCCUCUCCCUCUCCCUCGUCUGCCGCUGCCGCCACCACCACCGGCGACCUCCUCCAUGGCUGACACACCACCCCCUUCUCUCCCCCCUUACCUUCUCCUCAUCAGCGACCUCCUUCCCUCCCCCUCGCCCCAGAUCAAAGAAUAGGCCCGGAUGCGACGCGGGCUCAGAUCCAGCACGCCCACAACACUGCUUUUGCUAGAGGACGCCAUGGAAAAGGUGCUCUGGCCCUGGUACUGCAGCCAUGGAGAGGUGCCCUCCCAUCUUUAUGUGCGUGUUUGUUGGAUGGUGAGAAAAGAUAACUGGAUCAAGAGCUACUUCGAUGCCAUCCUCGACAUCGGCAAGUCAGCCGAUGGUGGCGUAUAGGACCAAGGAGAGGAGCAGCGGGCCAGGAGGUCUGACCCUCCCCUAUGCCCCCAUGGCCAUGGUGUGUACUGGGCAUUCUACUUUGUUAUUCCUCUUUAAUAAGCACAGUAUGGUAGUGAUGGUUAUUGGCCUAUGGAAAUGAGAUUAUUGAACUGUUAAGCCAACUGUUUCUUACACGGCUUUCCAUCAUUGCCAAGCAGAAGGAAUGCCCAGCAGACCUGGAAGAUGGUAUCCGCAGUUUGAUUAUUGCAGCCCCAAUGGUGCUUUGAACGCAGUCAAAUGUGCGACCUUUUUUACAAGAAGUAUGGGAAAGAUUUCGUUGCUGCUGCAGUUGACAUAUGCCCAAAUGUUUGUGUAUUUCAUUUAUUUUUCUGCAAAGCCAUUUGUUGUCACUACUGCAUGUAUUUUAUGGUCACUAUUGAAAUCAACGAUGUCCUUCUGAAGGUAAUUGAGAAGUUGUCAGUCAAUAAGCCGUGUAGGCAAUUUAAGUUGGAAGUUCUUAAGGAUAUAGCAAAGGAGCAUCAGAUAGAUUGGGAUAGGAGCGAGGCUGAGCAGGAACUUCUUAAACCUGCUGAAGAGCUGAUUUAUGUAAUACUAAAACUGCAAUGCCACAUACUUUUGUUUUACAUUGUGUAUAGUCUUUGAGCUAAUAGGCUUUAACUUCUGAGCAGCAAGUAUGGAAUUUGGCAAGUUAUUGUGUCUCUACAAGGCUUCUACUCGCAAUGGAGUUGUUUGCAGCAUUUUGAAAUCAAGUUUCUAUAUAUAAUACACACAUCGUGUUUGUGAUUGCUAGUUCGGUCAUCCUUUUGAACAAAAAAGGCACCGGAAGGGGUGGCUUGCUAGCACCGCCCAUGAACAUCUCAGGCAGAGAUAUCCGAUACAAUCUUACGUUUGUUUACAUUCUCCAUUUAAUGAUAUAUGCAUGUGUAACUAACCAUUUAUGUUUGUUUAUAAGAAUUUUACAUGAGUAUUCCUACACAUAGAUGAAUAUCCUCCUGAUGCUAAUCAAGGAUUCGAUAUUCCAUAAGCUUUGGUUAACUUGUGUGAGUUAAUUCUAGGAGAAGAUAAUUUGCAACAGAUCCAAUGUUUGUCUCACAUAUACUAGAAAACUUUCAAGGUAAAUAUAUGAUAUUUACUACCUUGAGAGUUUUAGAUAUUCUUCUUUUAUCUUCUCAUUACAAUAUUAUUAUGUGAUGCAGGAAGAUAAUGUGAUGAAGUCAUACACAGAAGUGUUGAUUGUUCCCUUGAUCCUUGACAGCGCAUCCUCACCUCACAGGACUCGCGGCUCAAGCCGUCGUUGUUGUGCUCCUGCAAUUGUCCACUAACAGUAUUUAUUUUGCUUAUUCAUUGCGCCACAAGUAUCUCUUGAGAAGUAUUCUUGUACUCCUGCAAUUAAAAUUUCUGGAUUUAGUGAUGGCACCGUCCAAAACAAAGAAUUAGUUGUCAGCAAUAUCCACAGUUUUAUUAUUAAUAGAUUUGGGUUUAUAGCAUGGAAAUAACACGUAUGGCAUUAUUGUUCUCUGUUUAUGGA
Molecule: long non-coding RNA, 1924 nt
Organism: Triticum dicoccoides
Lineage: Eukaryota; Viridiplantae; Streptophyta; Magnoliopsida; Poales; Poaceae
Exons: 4
Source: RefSeq, a predicted model, not a curated record